GAGGCAAGCAAGGCUUGGCUUGGACUGGUCCCGGCCAGCACGCGGGGGGCGGCCGAUGAGGAGGACGAGGGUGCCAGGACAAGGAAACACCCUUGGCAAAGGUGGCACCUAGGCAGGCAGCUGAACCAAGGGAGAGGGAGAUCCUGCCUUCCUUCUGCUCCCAGGGGGAGGUCGCUGAAGAUGUUUUGCCUCCUUUUUAUGCUUGCUGUUAAAGGACGCUGGCUGUGAACAUCAAAUGCCAAGGAGCUAUUCAUAGAUGUAUGUACAGGAUGUAAAAGCAAACCAGUGGUACUUUUUUCCCCACCCUGAGAUUCCAUCCGUGACUGCUUUGCAGUAGUGGAGGGUCCAACCCAGCCUCCUCUGCUGCCUGUAUAUAUAUGAUGUUCACUGAAGCUCUGUCCCCACAGAUGUCUUGAGAAACGUGCUUGCUGUAAAUCAUAUUGUACCGCUGAAGUGACCGGGGCCAUCCCCUGCUUCCAUCCGCUGCCACCAUGCAAAGACCAGAGCUCCCACCAGCCCAGGGAACACUUUUCCUAGCACAGGACUGAUGUCCUGCAGCACCUCGCCUAUAGAGCAGCAAAUACUGCCAAAAGCCUCUCAUCUAAAACAAUACUGGGGAGCCAAAGAAUGAGACUUUUCCUGCCCCUGAAAGGGACUUGUUAGCAGUGUCUCCAUGCUUUGAAAAUGGAUCCCCUUAGAGCACAAUGAGUGCUCCUGGCUGAAGCAGCAUCCCAGCUCUGCUUCCCCAGGGUAAAAUUAACGACCCAGUGCUUUCACACCUCCUUCCGAAGCAUUGCAGAGGGGACAACACCUCCACCGGGGCUGGAUAACUCCCUUCCCUCCUGUGGGAGCUGUGCCUGUGACCAGCUGCAAACCAGCACAGCCAGAGGGCACAGCCCGAGCCCUUCCUGUGGUCCCAAGUGCAUGGCCCCCAGCUAUCCCAGCACCAUCACCUGCUUUGUAAAUGUAGAUGUUUGACAUGCGAGUUUUACAGCUAAAGAGUG
This 1004-nucleotide long non-coding RNA is filed under the name Lonchura striata (white-rumped munia). Its description in RNAcentral is "domestica (Bengalese finch) lncRNA (ENSLSDG00000010530.1)". The record is from RNAcentral. Lineage: Eukaryota; Metazoa; Chordata; Aves; Passeriformes; Estrildidae.